CCGGCACCGGCAGGCCUGAAGGGGUGAGGUCAGUGGGCAUUCAGACCUCCCUUCCCUGUACCCCCAUCUCUGCUGCGGCUUUGAUGCAGCCGGUGCAAAGGAAGUUUCUAGAAUCUGAGAUCUGGAACUCAGCUACUCACUGGGACUCCAGGUGGAGGACUUGGCCUCUCCCAGUUCACAGCCAGACAACAGACUCAGCACGUCGCACUCUACUUGGGUGAGUCCAUG
Molecule: non-coding RNA, 228 nt
Organism: Chlorocebus sabaeus (green monkey)
Lineage: Eukaryota; Metazoa; Chordata; Mammalia; Primates; Cercopithecidae
Source: RefSeq, a predicted model, not a curated record